GGGUUGUGAGGUUAAGCGACUAAGCGUACACGGUGGAUGCCCUGGCAGUCAGAGGCGAUGAAGGACGUGCUAAUCUGCGAUAAGCGUCGGUAAGGUGAUAUGAACCGUUAUAACCGGCGAUUUCCGAAUGGGGAAACCCAGUGUGAUUCGUCACACUAUCAUUAACUGAAUCCAUAGGUUAAUGAGGCGAACCGGGGGAACUGAAACAUCUAAGUACCCCGAGGAAAAGAAAUCAACCGAGAUUCCCCCAGUAGCGGCGAGCGAACGGGGAGCAGCCCAGAGCCUGAAUCAGUGUGUGUGUUAGUGGAAGCGUCUGGAAAGGCGCGCGAUACAGGGUGACAGCCCCGUACACAAAAAUGCACAUGCUGUGAGCUCGAUGAGUAGGGCGGGACACGUGGUAUCCUGUCUGAAUAUGGGGGGACCAUCCUCCAAGGCUAAAUACUCCUGACUGACCGAUAGUGAACCAGUACCGUGAGGGAAAGGCGAAAAGAACCCCGGCGAGGGGAGUGAAAAAGAACCUGAAACCGUGUACGUACAAGCAGUGGGAGCACGCUUAGGCGUGUGACUGCGUACCUUUUGUAUAAUGGGUCAGCGACUUAUAUUCUGUAGCAAGGUUAACCGAAUAGGGGAGCCGAAGGGAAACCGAGUCUUAACUGGGCGUUAAGUUGCAGGGUAUAGACCCGAAACCCGGUGAUCUAGCCAUGGGCAGGUUGAAGGUUGGGUAACACUAACUGGAGGACCGAACCGACUAAUGUUGAAAAAUUAGCGGAUGACUUGUGGCUGGGGGUGAAAGGCCAAUCAAACCGGGAGAUAGCUGGUUCUCCCCGAAAGCUAUUUAGGUAGCGCCUCGUGAAUUCAUCUCCGGGGGUAGAGCACUGUUUCGGCAAGGGGGUCAUCCCGACUUACCAACCCGAUGCAAACUGCGAAUACCGGAGAAUGUUAUCACGGAGACACACGGCGGGUGCUAACGUCCGUCGUGAAGAGGGAAACAACCCAGACCGCCAGCUAAGGUCCCAAAGUCAUGGUUAAGUGGGAAACGAUGUGGGAAGGCCCAGACAGCCAGGAUGUUGGCUUAGAAGCAGCCAUCAUUUAAAGAAAGCGUAAUAGCUCACUGGUCGAGUCGGCCUGCGCGGAAGAUGUAACGGGGCUAAACCAUGCACCGAAGCUGCGGCAGCGACGCUUAUGCGUUGUUGGGUAGGGGAGCGUUCUGUAAGCCUGUGAAGGUGUGCUGUGAGGCAUGCUGGAGGUAUCAGAAGUGCGAAUGCUGACAUAAGUAACGAUAAAGCGGGUGAAAAGCCCGCUCGCCGGAAGACCAAGGGUUCCUGUCCAACGUUAAUCGGGGCAGGGUGAGUCGACCCCUAAGGCGAGGCCGAAAGGCGUAGUCGAUGGGAAACAGGUUAAUAUUCCUGUACUUGGUGUUACUGCGAAGGGGGGACGGAGAAGGCUAUGUUGGCCGGGCGACGGUUGUCCCGGUUUAAGCGUGUAGGCUGGUUUUCCAGGCAAAUCCGGAAAAUCAAGGCUGAGGCGUGAUGACGAGGCACUACGGUGCUGAAGCAACAAAUGCCCUGCUUCCAGGAAAAGCCUCUAAGCAUCAGGUAACAUCAAAUCGUACCCCAAACCGACACAGGUGGUCAGGUAGAGAAUACCAAGGCGCUUGAGAGAACUCGGGUGAAGGAACUAGGCAAAAUGGUGCCGUAACUUCGGGAGAAGGCACGCUGAUAUGUAGGUGAAGUCCCUUGCGGAUGGAGCUGAAAUCAGUCGAAGAUACCAGCUGGCUGCAACUGUUUAUUAAAAACACAGCACUGUGCAAACACGAAAGUGGACGUAUACGGUGUGACGCCUGCCCGGUGCCGGAAGGUUAAUUGAUGGGGUCAGCGCAAGCGAAGCUCUUGAUCGAAGCCCCGGUAAACGGCGGCCGUAACUAUAACGGUCCUAAGGUAGCGAAAUUCCUUGUCGGGUAAGUUCCGACCUGCACGAAUGGCGUAAUGAUGGCCAGGCUGUCUCCACCCGAGACUCAGUGAAAUUGAACUCGCUGUGAAGAUGCAGUGUACCCGCGGCAAGACGGAAAGACCCCGUGAACCUUUACUAUAGCUUGACACUGAACAUUGAGCCUUGAUGUGUAGGAUAGGUGGGAGGCUUGGAAGUGUGGACGCCAGUCUGCAUGGAGCCGACCUUGAAAUACCACCCUUUAAUGUUUGAUGUUCUAACGUUGACCCGUAAUCCGGGUUGCGGACAGUGUCUGGUGGGUAGUUUGACUGGGGCGGUCUCCUCCUAAAGAGUAACGGAGGAGCACGAAGGUUGGCUAAUCCUGGUCGGACAUCAGGAGGUUAGUGCAAUGGCAUAAGCCAGCUUGACUGCGAGCGUGACGGCGCGAGCAGGUGCGAAAGCAGGUCAUAGUGAUCCGGUGGUUCUGAAUGGAAGGGCCAUCGCUCAACGGAUAAAAGGUACUCCGGGGAUAACAGGCUGAUACCGCCCAAGAGUUCAUAUCGACGGCGGUGUUUGGCACCUCGAUGUCGGCUCAUCACAUCCUGGGGCUGAAGUAGGUCCCAAGGGUAUGGCUGUUCGCCAUUUAAAGUGGUACGCGAGCUGGGUUUAGAACGUCGUGAGACAGUUCGGUCCCUAUCUGCCGUGGGCGCUGGAGAACUGAGGGGGGCUGCUCCUAGUACGAGAGGACCGGAGUGGACGCAUCACUGGUGUUCGGGUUGUCAUGCCAAUGGCACUGCCCGGUAGCUAAAUGCGGAAGAGAUAAGUGCUGAAAGCAUCUAAGCACGAAACUUGCCCCGAGAUGAGUUCUCCCUGACUCCUUGAGAGUCCUGAAGGAACGUUGAAGACGACGACGUUGAUAGGCCGGGUGUGUAAGCGCAGCGAUGCGUUGAGCUAACCGGUACUAAUGAACCGUGAGGCUUAACCUUACAACGCCGAAG
This 2924-nucleotide ribosomal RNA is filed under the name Escherichia coli. Its description in RNAcentral is "bacterial LSU rRNA". It matches the Rfam family "Bacterial large subunit ribosomal RNA". The record is from RNAcentral. Lineage: Bacteria; Pseudomonadati; Pseudomonadota; Gammaproteobacteria; Enterobacterales; Enterobacteriaceae.